RNAcentral lists this long non-coding RNA (29600 nucleotides) under Capsicum annuum. Its description in RNAcentral is "long non-coding RNA (CANN_LNC003892)". The record is from RNAcentral. Lineage: Eukaryota; Viridiplantae; Streptophyta; Magnoliopsida; Solanales; Solanaceae.
UUCAAAACAGAAAAAUCGUUCAAGUUUAGAGAAUUCCGAGUAAGUGGUUCCUAUUAAUGUUUUAGAAAGGUGUUAGGCACCUAAAACAUCCGCUAACUUGCGGUUAUCCGGACUGUUUGAAAAUCGUCUUUAAUUAACUUCGAAAAGUGAUUAAUUUUUGGAAAGAAAGCGAUUUUGAAAAUAUUUUGGUGUUUAUACAAAACUAAUUUUUUAGCGACUUAACUAAGGAUUUAACUAGGUUCGCAAGAAGCACGUAAAAUAAGUAAGCGAAAAGGAAAAGGGAGAAAUAGUGAUUUAGGCUCUUUAAGCGCAAAACGUCGCCCCUGUCCUAAUCUAGUUGGGUCUUUGAUCCACAUUUUUUCACCUAUCCUAAUUCUAUAUUUCCGCGACCUUUUUGGCUCAAUUUUCACUCCACCUGUAUUAAAUACAACCUUGGCUUCAUGGCCCAAAUGAAUGAAUAAAAUAAAUAAAGACAACAAUAAUUAAACGAAACGAAAUAAUAAAUGAGACUUUUGUCUCUUAGUCGCUUCAAGAAUGAGACUUUAACCCAUUUCUUCUUCUUUCGACUCCCUAUAUUUAUUGUGUCACGAGAUUUAUGUUGAACUUACUCUAAGAGUUGACUCGAUGGAGAUGACGGGCCUCAAUGGCCGUGAAGAAAAUGCAGCGAGAAAUUGAAUCCAUUUUUGGAUUCAAAGCAAAUAGUACAUGUAGAGAAAAAGGGUAAGGAUUAGGAUCCAAUAACAGUAAAAGAAAACAAAGCUAUCGUUAUAAAGGAAUCAUGCAUAGAUAAAGAAGCAUCAUGUAGAUCACCAAAGUAGGAAAUAGGAAAUGAGGAAAUGACCAGGAAAACAACAUUAGCUAAAUAGAUGUUUGACAUGGUUUGAAAACUUUGAUGAUUUGAAAAAAUGUUGGACAAUAACUGAAGGGACAAAUGCAAACAACUGUUGUGUAGUAGAUCACUUGAUUUUCAACCUAAUAUGAAAUAAUUCUGCAAGCAUGGACACACCAGAAACUUCAAAGGCUGUCAAGCACAUAUAACUUGUACAUAAAACAAUAAGUGAAAAUGAUUUGAGAUCAACACUUUAUCAAAAUGGGGGAAAACAUUCAAAUUUUUGAACAUGACUAAACACUCUAUAAAUACAACAAGAUAUGAUGGAAUCUAGGGUUAAUUAACGAAAUAUCACCUAAGAGGGACAAAUCGUCUUGAGACCUAAUGACCUAGCUACUAAUUACCUUACGUUGAGAGCAAAACUAAACAGGAGGAUAGAUAAUCAAGUCAAGAACACCAUAUACUAAAUAGAGCAUCGAGACUAAAGCGGAAUAUCUAGCUAAAACUACCGCGCGUCAAGCCACGAUAUUCGAGUAUAAACAUGACAUAAUUUUUGAUGCUAAAAUGGUUUCCUAACCAAAACUAAACAUGAAUUUAGAGAUUGAACUCGAAUAACAGAUCAAAACAACUUUUGAUACUCAUGACAUCAAAUUAAUCAUGGACAGUGGCCUAAACAAUACGAAAAGCUGAAUCGAGAUAAUAAACCAGAAACGAAAAGCAAAGUUUCAAUGAUAUAUGUGAUAAUUUAUACUACAAACUCACAGAUAAUCACUAACAUCUAUUAAGAGGUAGUAUAUUCAACGUAAUCGCAUUGAUAAUUUUGACAUUAACACCGAUUCAGCAAAUAGCAUAACAGUAGUCACAAACACAUCCUAAGGCCAUCAUAGCCAACUACAGCAGACAAUCCCAGCCUCAUUCAUGAUAAAUAGAUAACUACUUUUACGAAGAAAGAGGGAAUGAAGCAGGAAACAACGGAAUUAAAAGGGACCAGCGUGUGUUUACCUCCUUCGGGGCAGCAAAAUAGGACAAAGAGCUAGCGUUGAAUUCACAGCCACUGGAAAAUGAUGUCAUCGUUACCUCACAACCAUAAUCAAUCGACGCAUAUUUGAAGCUUCCGAUUAAAUGGUCAGAUUUCAAAGAAGAAGGAAUGAGAAAACCUUACUAAAGAAGCUUAUGGGCUCUCAAAUUUUCUUCUGCUUUGCUCCUUUUUCAGAAUUUUUCUCAACCCAAAAUUUCGAACCCCAAAGAAAUUUUUUCUCUCCCUUAGCUUUUAAUCCCCGAUUUUUCCAACAACCCCAAAACAAAGCACGGAAGCCUCUUAUAUAGAAGACCAAUUGGGGUAUUUUCGGGAUUCAAAAAAAGGGUUUCUUGGAUUUCCAAUUCCAAAAUUCCCCCCCCCCCCACAACUUGUUUGUUGUGCUUAAAACGUACCAUCUUCUUUGGAUUUUUCCAUAAAAUGACAAAUGGUGGACCAAUUAAAAUGAAGAAAAAUGAAUUUUCCCCAAAACCAAUGAGAAAUCUCCACCAACGUACGAAUUCGUACAUGGUACCCAAGAUUCGCGGCAUUUGAACGUUGGGGUGAGCCAACUCACCCAUUUCUAGAAGCUUGUUGGAUGUUUCGUAUGCCAACUCAGCGGGUUGAAGUCAGGUCGGUGAUGGGAUCGGGUGUGACUGUCGGAGCAGUCCAGUUUUGGAUUUGGACGAGUUUUGCUAUUGAGAAAACUUACGGGUGGGUGGAAAUCGGUUUUGGUUCGGUUGAAAUCAUCGUCGAUGUGGAAGUUUGUCGCGAUUUGGGGCUGUAGAAAAUUGCGUAUUGUUGUUUUGUUUGGCUGUUAAGGUGAAGGAGAGUGUAUUGAUGGUGUGGGCCGGGUCGUUGUUUGGAAGGUGGGCUAGAGCGGUCUUAUUUGUAAGAAUUGGGCCGUUGAUUUGAGAAUUGGGCUUGGGAACUUGUUUGGAGAAAUUGGGCCUUAAAUUGGGGUUAUUUAAUAAUUCCUAUUAAAUUUAAUUGGGUUAUUAAAUAACCCUAAUUAAAUUUAAUUAGAUUAUAAUAAUCAUAAUUAAAUUUAAUUGGAUUAAGAAUAACUCAAAUUAAAUUUAAUCGGAUUAAAAUAAUCCCAAUUAAGAAAUGGUAACUUUUGGGAUUAAGAUUGUAUUACAAUUUAAACGACUUAUUUAAAUUCUAACCAAAUUGAAUAUCUAUUGGUCAAUUGCAUUACAAUUGGACCAAUUGGAUUCCAAUUGAGGUCAUAUUUAAUUCGUUCGCUAAAUUGAAUCGCAAUCUGGCACGAAUCAAGUAACAAAUUAACCUCGAAUUUCUUAAUUUGAUAAAAAUCCAACAAAUAUUCCUCCAAAUAAAAUAUUUUGAGAAAAAAUCAUAUUUAAAAUCAAGACUUUAUCCAUUCGAAUUAAUUUUCAAAUUUAAUCAAUGGCAGUCUAAUUUUAAAUAAAAAUAUUCAUUUACAUAACUAAAUUUAUACACUCAUAUAUAAAGAUAUGAAAAGGUAUAAUCGUUAAUUAAAUUAAUUCAAAUAAAUAUUUUAAAUUGUAUUUAUUUGAAUUAAAUAAUUGUCGUCAUUUUAUUUUAAAAUUGAAGAAACUCGAAAUUAAAUUAGGUUGUGGAGGGAAAAAAUUAGUUGUCAACAACUGUCCCCUCCCUUUGGGUAGACUGGAUACAAGUAACCCUGGGCAAAGGGAGGUUGAUGUUCUUAAUUUUUGUCCGACCACAAAUUUGUUUAUGAAAGAGGUUGAUUUUUGCAUGAGUUUCAUGGAGUUAUGGCCGGACCUUGGUAUCAGGUUUCCUACACAUCUCAGGUUAUAUGAGAAUUCAGGCCACUUGUAGUUCAUAAAGCUUGAUUGCAAGCACGAUUUUCAAGAAAAUUUCACAAGCUAUCUCGGUUUUAAGGUUUUUGAAGAAAUCGAAAAGCUGGGGAAUAGAGGAAUUUGGGUGGAGGUUGGAAUGCAGUCGAGUUUUUCACAUAGAUCUCGUCCUACAUAUCCCCAAGAUUUCAGGGAAUCAGACUGCUUGUAGUUUGACUAGAUCGGCAGAAAAGAUAAUAUUUUAUUUCAGACGAUCUUUGGCUCAGGAUGAGUGACAAGUUGAUCGAGUUUCGAAAAAGAGGCUUGUAACCUAUUAACCAUGAAUGUGGUAUCCUUCACACCCAUAGACAAGAACUUACCUGGACAUAAUUUCCAAACUCUGAGUAUGUUGUCACUGACUUUGAAAGAAAAAGAAGGUUACCCUCGGCAUGACUUAAGAAAUAUCCCAGAGUUGAAGCUGAGACUUAGAACAUCCCAAAAUACCCAUGUUCCUUCUAAUAGGGGUGUGGUUGGAUGGUGGUGGUGAUCAUCCUUUAGCUCACGUCCAAAGAGUUAGACAUCCCUCUCUAGACUAUGUCCCAUUUUGCUGCUAAGAAAGAGUUUACGUUGUGUUGUGUACUAUCUGAAGUCGUCCACACCUGUGGUUUUGAUUUGACAUUUUUAUCCUCUCAGAUGAUCUCGACAAUGCUUCAAGCAAAAAGUGUUAGUGCUAAACAUAAUUCACGAGAGAGGUAUGUAGUCUUUUACCAUAUCUCCACGUGAUUUGUGGCCUGAAAAGCGGGGUUAUCUCUUCAUUUACUUGUUUGGAAUGAAAUAACUGGCAACAACAAACAACAACCCUCUUGGUUGUUGUAUAAUUAUGACAUUGUCGGUUGAAUAUGUCUUCAAAAUUGGGUAGUCCUUUUGGACACCGGUGAUACUUUAUGCAGAACGGUCUCUAUAACCGUGUAAUCUUAUGCGGGUGUGGCAACCCUUUUGGUUGCCUAUAUCACUAUUGUAUGUGUAAUGAUAACCUCUUCGGUUAUCAGAUGAUCGAUUUAUAUAUUUUCCUUAAAUUAUCAAUCUUUGGAUAAUCUUGCGUAUUAUUUGAUGUUGGAUACGAGGCGACUUACAAAUAUUCUUUGAAUUCCUAGCUUUUAGGUAAUUCUGCACAUUAUCCGACUUUGGAUAAGAGAUGGCUUACAAAUAUCCCUACAAUCGCUAGCUUUUAUGUAACACCCCGUACUUAAUUGCGUGCAUUAGUCAUUGUUAUAUGUGUUGGAGUAUAUGUAUUGAUCCUAAGUUAGGUAUAUAUGAGUUUAAGUAUGAGUAUUGAUUAUUUUGAGAUGGUUUCAAGUGCAUAGUUUGAUUAUAUGUGUAUAGGAAUCGACUUUAUUUAUAUCGGAAUUUUCCCGUCGAUGGUUCCAUACGAAGGUUAUUGAAUAAGCUUUCCAACGAUAUAAAGAUUUCCAAAAACGGAUAAGUUUCGGAUAUAAGCGAGCUCGUUCGAAACUUUAAAACGGUGGCCGGGAUGUGAACAGUAAAAUGUGCAGGAAACUACUGAGGCCUGCCAGUUUUUUGGGUCAACUUUGAACGAUCAUAACUCCCUCAAUAUAAUGAACUGGUUGAGCUACCAUAUAUCAAAAGAAAGAUCUUUGAGUCUUCUUUCCAAUGAAAUUGGUUUCAUCCAAAUCCAACAUCUGAGUAAGGAGUUAUACUCGUUUUACUUCAGCCUCUCAAAACAGAUUUUUAGGGUCAACUUCAAACGAUCAUAACUACUUGUACAGGACGAACUGGGUGGAUUAAUUUAUAUUAAAUGAAAGACCUUUGAAUUAUCUUUCUAACGAUACCAAUUUCACCCAAAUCCGAUAUCGGAGCAAAGAGUUAUGGCCGAUUUACUUUAGCCUAUCAAAACAGUCCACCAUGGACAGAUUCGGAUUUACUUAAAUUUUUAAGGGCAAUAUGGUCAUUUUCCAUCACCUCAUGGACGAAAAUUGGUCAUUAUAUACAUAUACUUAGCCUUAUAUCCACCAUUUAUCAUCCAAAUCAUUGAAGAAUAAGAAACCCUAGCCUAAGUUCAACUCCAAUUAUCUUGUGAUUCAACCGUAGAAAAUCCAAAUUGAUUCCGUAGUUGUGUUCACCGUCUCAAGGGCUUCGAGAAGCACCCCUUAUUUGUGCCAACAGGACUUCGAAAUCAAAAGGGCCAUUUUUUUUGGUAAGGAUGUAAAUUAUGUUGGUGUUAUUUAUAUGGAUAUGUAUAUAUAUAUAUAUAUGCAUGUGAGCAUAAGAAGUAUGUUAUUUGAUUGUUGUUGAAAGAUGAUUGGAAAUGAUGUUGGAUUAUUCUUGUGCAUGGUUGGAUUAUGUUAAAUUGUGAAGGAAUUUGGGGUGAUGAUGUGGUAUUGAUGAUGUGGUAUUGAGAUGAUGAUUAUAUACAUAUACACACAUAAACCUAUUGUUCAAGUUGGUUUUUGGAAUGUUUUGCAAAUAUUGGUAGUAUGGAAUUAUGGAAGAGAAUUGUGGUGUUGGGUUGCUAAUACUAGAUGCCAAACAUUUCAUUGUAGAUAAGUGAUUUGUAAAGGCGGGAAGUUGUGUUGAAUUGGUAUCUGAAUCUACAACGAGGUAUGUAAAGCAUACUCUAACAAUGUUCUUUGGCAUGAAAACACCAAUGUUCCAUCAAGUAAGAUUCCGAGGUUGUCCAAAAACAUGUAUUGUUCUACGUUACCAACGAAGUUGUUUCCAUCCUAUAAAGUGUCAAAAUGUUCAUUGAUAUACCAAAAGGCUCUUAUUUCAUUGUUGUGAUAUUGAUGAUUCUGAAACAUAUUGUUGAUGUACCAAUGAGUCCUUAUUACAUCGUUAUUGUAUAGAAGGUCUAUUACUUGGUUCCUAUUGAUGUAUCAUUGUUUCAAGGUAUCAAAAAUGUGGUGACGACCGAAAUAACAAUCUCAAAGAUUAAUUGAACUAAGUGAUGAAAGUUCUCUCUUAUCGGGUGGUAUCCCAGGGGCAUAAGCCUAGCAUGGGUCGAUCCCUAUUUCAUGUGUUUAUGGGUGGUAUCCCAGGGGCAUAAGCCUAGCAUGGGUCGAUCCCAGUUGAUAUGUACUGGAGGCAUCCUAAUGGUCACAGUACAGUACAGUAAUGAUUACAAAGACGAUAAGAACGAAGGUAAAGUGAUUGAAUAAAUACAAUGUACAGGUUGUCACAAGUUCUAGUAAGUGUGGUCCACUCCUAUUACGACUUAUUCACUUGUUUCUGAUUUCUAUUGAGCUCCUAUAUCAUAUGUGAUUAUUUACAGCUUUACAUACUCAGUACAUAUUUCGUACUGACGUCCCUCACGGGGGACCUGCAUUUCAUGCUGCAGGCACAGGUACCUCAACUCAUACACCGCACAAGUAGGAGCCAGGUCAUACAGCUAUUGUUGGUGAGCUCCAGUUUGCUUCGGAGCUUUCCGAGUCGGUUCCUUAUGUUUUGUUAUUGUACAUGAGUCACGUGUGGGCGGGGGUUUGUCCCGACCCUAGUUAUGUCAUGUAUAUCCUAGAGGCUUUGUAGACAUAAGGAAGGGUAAAGUCAUGGAAGUUUAUAUAGUAACGUUAUAUUUGUAUAUGUGGUGGCCCCGACGGCCAAGUAUUAUAUAUAUAUAUUUGUGCGUGUUGUGCUGAUACAGGUAAUUAGACCUUUCUAUAUGCAACGAAGUGCUGUCCAAUUUUUUUGGUGACAUGUAAGUGAAAGUACAGGUAUUUGAACGGGUUCUCCCGGGCCUUCUCGGCUUCGGGUGCCAGUCCGGCCCGAUGGGAUUUUGGGGCGUGACACAAGUGAUCAAAAAUCCACUAUGGUAUGAUGACACAUUUUUUAAAGACAAAACUCUCUUCUUAAAAGAUGAUAGUUUGUCAAUUGGAGGGGUUAGUGGUCCAAAAGAAGGGGGUGUAUGUUCUCCAAUGACCUAUUCAUUCUUGUGUGAACCCAUGCUUGAUCAAGGGCUUAAUGCUUGUAGAUCAAAGGGUGAUUCUAUAUGUGGGCACACCUUAAAUAAACUUUAUUUAAGUAACACCUUUCUAUACCACUUUUUUUGCAUAUGAUGAUACUCUUUCCUUUGAGUGGAGUAUGUUAUGUGAGAGUAGAGUGUCAAUGGGGCAAAUAGGUGUAUGAUUUUACCCAUGUUUAUGGAUUGCCUUUUCCUUUUGUCCUGGUAAUGAUUUGAAUAGUGGCGUUUGUGAUAAAAUACUUGGUUCAAAUGACAAGAAAGUUGUGGGUGAGGUUGUUGGCUUGCGUGGUGGUAAGUAUAGUAGUAACAUAUUUUUUCUCUCAUAUGAUUAUUGCUUGGUGUUAUUACUUGAUCUUAUAUGUUUAAUAAGAUAUAUUUGCCAAAUUAUGUAGAGAAUACCUUCGUAUUUAAUCUCCAAUGAUGAAUUAGGAGUAAUUCUAUUCUUUAAGAUAGUUAGUGCAUUGGAUAGAGUAUUGACUUGGAAUGACCUCAUUUAUGACAUGAAACAUAGUUAUAUGGGUUAUCAUGUGUUACAUGACUUAAAGGGAGAUUUUUUUUUCUAAAUUUAGAACCAUUGAGGACUUGUAUCAGUGGUUGCCUAAACACCAUGGUUCUUUUGAUUUGCCCCUUUGUCAAUGUUUCCUAUGUAGCCAAGUAUAUCAAUUUUUGUUGGGUGACAAACCAUUUAUGACUCAUUUUUUUGCUUGGUUAUAUGUUAAAUGUGUACACCCUUGGCAUGGCCAUAAAUUUGUUAUUGAUAAUCCUUGUGUUAAACCUCAUGCUACGAUGAUAUGUUUGUUGUUUUUCCUUCUCAUUUUUUAAAAAAGUUUGGAUUCGUGGAUGAAUUCUUUUGAUGAAGUGGAUCAUGAUUAGCUUGGAACAUAUUAGGAGGGUCUUCCAUGUAUGGAUGAUAUCUUGGAGUUUGAAGGAAGGCAUGAAGAAAUAGAUACAUAAGGUCAUUGGCAAUCAAGAUGCCAUUUGGCCAAUUAAGAAGGUCCCUUGUGAGUUAUUUGUAAAAUGGUCACAUUAGGGAGAUUUUUGUAAUAGACUUUUUCUGUAAAGGCACUGACUAUAAAUAGUUUCUUUAUCCAUUUUCAUCACUUAGAUUUGGAAAAGUGAAUUGUCUUGAAUAGAAUUGAUAUUUAGUUAUUCGAUAUUAGGGCAGUAAUUGGGUUCAAUUUCAAUUGUUAGCUUAGAUUGAGUGAUUAGGGUGUCUUUCUAAAUUGUUUGUGUUAUCUUCUUCACUUGAUUUAUCAUUAAGUUAUCAUAUUAUGGAUUCAAUCUGGUUUCUCGUCCAUUUGAUUAAGUUCUCUAUUUUUCUUAGCUUAAUUAUUAUUUGAUUAAGUCUUUCUUUCAGCACUUCUAUAAUACCCCAUAUUAUUAUUAGGUCAGUUCAUCUUCUAGUUGUAUGCAUAAGGGGCUUAAGGCCUAAAAAUUUCACUAAGUGUUGGGGAAUUAGUCAUUUAUAAGUCCUCUUAACUUCGAGGAUUUUUCGAUUGGUCUUCCCGAUCCUAAGGUGUUGGUUUUUGAGUUAAUUCAUAUUCAGGGAUGUAAGGAGCAUGUCUUAGAGAAGUUUCAAAUUUUUUGAAUGAGGUUUCGGUCAUGUUUGGAUCACAAAUCCAGAAAGUCACUGCGAUACGGCUGCGUCGCUUUAAUAUUUCCAUUUGCAUGCUCACUGCGUUGCGGUAAGGGAAAUGGAUGACUUCAAUUAGACCGCGUUGCGGUAAGUAUGUUAUGCCCAGUUAUGAAUUUAAUUGCCUGAGGGGAAAUUGUGUCUGUUCCCCUCAACCCAAAUCAUGCAUAACACGAAUUGAGACAUCAUUUAGAGCAUUAUUUGCCCUUCUUCUCUAAAUCCAUCUCAAGAAAACCCUUCCCACUUUCUCAAAAUCACCAAUUUCAAUUUUUUUCUCCCUAAAAAACCAAGGAACUCAAGCUUCAAAUUCAAGAAACCCUCAAGAAAUCUUCAAGAAAUCAUCUAUUAAGGUAUGUGGAUGUUCAUUCAUGGGUUUCUUUCUUCGAACACAGGAUUUUCUUAAGAUGGAUCCUCCCACUUUUACUGGAUCAGAUCUUAACGAGGACCCACAGGACUUUAUCGAUCAAAUUCAAAGGGCCUUGGAUGUUAUGCAUGUAACGGGUAGAGAGACAGUGGAGUUAGCGGCGUAUAGAUUUAAAGGGGAGGCUAUAUAUUGGUAUGAGGACUGGAAACGAUCUAGGGGUAUUGAUGCACCCCCAGCUACUUGGAAGGAGUUCAAAGAGGCAUUUCUUGAUCAUUAUCUUCCAUUCGAGAUUCGUCAGGCCCGUGCAGAUCAGUUUUUAAAUCUUCGUCAGGGGAAUAUGAGCGUGAGGGAGUACAGUCUUCGAUUUAAUUCCUUGUCGAGAUAUGCUCCUAAUGUUGUAGCUACUAUGGUUGACAGAGUUCAUCAAUAUGUGGAUAGGCUAGAUCCAUAUCUGGUUAGAGAUUGUACUAUUGCUGCUUUGAACAAAGAUAUGGACAUAGCGAGAAUCCAAGCUUUUGCACAAAAAAUGGAAGAUCAGAGGCAGAGGAGAAGAACACAGGAAUCAGAAAGAGGAUAUUCCAAGAGGGCCAGAUCUACAGGGCAGUUCAUGGCAUUCGAAAGAGGGUUCAGACCACAGUUUUCUGCUAGACCACCUAGGCCAUUAUCCUCUUAUUCUACAGCUAGUGCCCCACCACAGUUCCAAGGGUUCAGAGGAAAUCAAUUUGGGCACAGAAGUGAGAGUCAGAGUUCGCGGACAGUGGGGUACCAAGGUCAAGGGAAUAUGAGCCAAUCAAGACCUCCUCGAGAGCCAUGCAAUAAAUGUGGAAGGUAUCAUUUGGGCGCAUGUCGGCUGGGGACCAAUGUUUGCUUUUGGUGCGGUAUGUCGGGGCAUAUGAUGAGGGAAUGCCCACGAAGGGACAUAGGGGGUAUGGCACGACCUACGGGGUCAUUUGUUGCAUCAUCAUCAUCGAUGCCUUAUUCAGGAAGGGGUGCACAGCCAAUGGGUCGUGUUAGAGGUGAUAGAGGAGCCACGAGUUCUAGCGGGGCUCAAAAUCGUACGUAUGCUCUAGCAGAUCGACAGAAUUUAGAGGCUUCUCCAGAUGUGGUUACGGGUAUGUUGGCUAUAUUUUCAUUCAAUUUAUAUGCCUUAAUUGAUCCCGGUUCUACAUUAUCUUAUGUUACUCCAUUGGUUGCUGGAAAGUUCGAAAGAAUACCCGAACUGUUAGUUAAGCCAUUUGAAGUGUCCACACCGGUCGGGGAAUCUAUUAUAGCUAGAAGGGUUUAUCGAAACUGCAUAGUAACUGUUUGUGGUCGUGAUACGAUGGCUGAUCUUGUGGAGUUAGAAAUGGUAGAUUUUGAUGUUAUAAUGGGUAUGGACUGGUUGGCGUCUUGUUAUGCCACAAUUGAUUGCUGCACGAAAAAGGUAUAUUUCCAUUUUCCAAAUGAAUCAGUCCUUGAAUGGAAAGGUGAAAUUAGCGUGCCAAGAGGUAGAUUUAUUUCUUAUUUUAAGGCGAGAAGAAUGAUUUCCAAGGGAUAUAUAUAUCAUUUAGUUAGAGUAAGGGAUACAGAAGCGGAGCCACCAACUCUUCACGCUGUUCCGGUGGUAAAUGAAUUUUCUGAUGUAUUUCCUGAAGAUCUUCCAGGUUUGCCUCCUGAACGAGAAGUAGAGUUUGGUAUUGAUGUAAUACCAGGCACCCAACCAAUCUCCAUUCCUCCGUAUAGAAUGGCCCCAGCAGAAUUACGAGAAUUGAAAGAGCAAUUGAAAGAUUUGCUAGAAAAGGGGUUCAUUAGGCCUAGUAUUUCCCCUUGGGGAGCACCAGUGUUAUUUGUACGCAAAAAGGAUGGCUCGCUGAGGAUGUGUAUUGAUUAUCGGCAAUUGAAUAAGGUGACUAUUAAGAAUAAAUAUCCUCUCCCAAGAAUUGAUGAUUUAUUUGAUCAGUUACAGGGCGCCAAGUGCUUUUCUAAGAUUGAUUUGAGGUCAGGUUACCACCAAGUGAGGGUCAAAGAAAAAGAUAUACCCAAAACAGCUUUCCGAACAAGGUAUGGUCAUUAUGAGUUUCUAGUUAUGUCAUUUGGGCUAACAAAUGCACCCGCAGCUUUUAUGGAUUUGAUGAAUAGGGUUUUUAAGCCAUUCCUGGAUGUAUUUGUGAUAGUUUUUAUAGAUGAUAUUCUAGUUUAUUCUAGAUCAGAAGAGGACCAUGCCAAUCACUUACGACAGGCAUUGCAGACUCUUCGUGAUUGUAAGCUUUAUGCAAAGUUCUCUAAAUGUGAGUUUUGGUUAAAGUCGGUGGCAUUUUUGGGUCAUAUUGUAUCUAGUGAAGGGAUAAAGGUUGAUGCUCAAAAGAUAGAGGCUGUGAAGAACUGGCCAAGGCCCACAACGCCUACGGAGAUUCGUAGUUUUCUUGGGUUGGCCGGUUAUUAUAGAAGGUUUGUCAAAGACUUUUCUUCCAUUUCAGCACCCUUAACCAAGCUAACCCAUAAAGCAUCCAAAUUCCAAUGGAAUGAUGCCUGUGAGAAGAGUUUUCAAGAUUUAAAGAACAAGUUGAUUUCUACACCCGUGUUGGUACUACCAGAAGGCACCGAAGGGUAUACAGUGUAUUGUGAUGCUUCCAGAAUUGGUUUAGGAUGUGUAUUGAUGCAGCAUGGUAAGGUAAUAGCAUAUGCUUCUAGACAAUUACGGCCACAUGAGAAAAAUUAUCCUACACACGAUCUUGAGCUGGCAGCGGUUAUUUUUGCUUUAAAGAUAUGGCGCCACUACUUAUAUGGGGUUCACGUUGAUAUAUAUACUGACCAUAAGAGCUUGCAAUAUAUUUUUAAUCAGAAGGAUCUAAAUUUAAGGCAGCGGAGAUGGCUUGAACUAUUAAAGGACUAUGAUGUUGAUAUCUUGUACCAUCCAGGGAAAGCAAAUGUGGUAGCUGAUGCGUUAAGUCGUAAGGCUAUGAUGGCGCCUAUAGAAAGGCAAGGGAUGGUUAAAGAUCUUCACCAGUUAGCUAGUUUGGGAGUUCGCCUUCUUGAAACUCCGAAUAAAGAGCUUAUCGUACAUAAUGCUGCGGAAUCUUCAUUAGUAGCUGAAGUGAAAGAGAAGCAAUAUGCAGAUCCUAUUUUAUUACAUCUUAAGGAGAACGUUCAGAGUGGUGCGACCAAGGCAUUUGAGCUUACGCGAGAAGGAGUACUUCAGUGCCAAAACCGAUUGUGUGUGCCGGAUAUAGACGGGCUAAGAAAGAAGAUUAUGACAGAGGCACAUUUUUCAAGGUAUUCCAUUCAUCCAGGAUCAACCAAAAUGUAUCAAGAUUUGAAAGAUAUGUAUUGGUGGAAUGACAUGAAGAAGAGCAUUGCAGAAUUUGUAGCUGAAUGUCCAAAUUGUCAAAGAGUUAAAGUUGAGCACCAAAAACCCGGAGGCUAUAUGCAAUGCAUAGAUCUUCCAAUUUGGAAGUGGGACAUGAUCAACAUGGAUUUUGUUACAGGUUUGCCUCGUACAGCUCGAAAAUUUGAUUCUAUAUGGGUGAUUGUGGAUAGGCUUACUAAAUCCGCACAUUUCUUACCCGUUAAGACCACUUACACAGUUGAAGAAUAUUCGAAGCUGUAUGUUAAAGAAAUAGUCCGAUUACAUGGAGUGCCAACUUCUAUUAUAUCGGAUCGGGGAACUCAAUUUACUGCAAACUUUUGGAAGUCUUUCCAACGGGGUUUGGGAACACAAGUGAAUCUGAGUACAGCUUUUCACCCUCAGACGGAUGGACAAGCAGAGCGCACCAUUCAAACACUUGAAGAUAUGCUACGAGCAUGUGUUAUAGAUUUUAAAGGCAGCUGGGAUGAUCAUUUACCUCUUAUUGAGUUUGCCUACAAUAAUAGCUAUCAUUCAAGUAUCAAAAUGGCACCAUAUGAAGCUUUAUAUGGGAGAAAGUGUAGAUCACCAAUAGGAUGGUUCGAAGCGGGUGAAACUCUUAUGUUCGGACCGGAUCUUGUGUAUCAAGCCAUAGAAAAAGUCAAGGUGAUACAACAACGGCUAAAAACAGCCCAAAGUCGUCAUAAAUCAUAUGCAGAUAUUCGGAGAAGAGGGCUGGAAUUCUCUAUUGGAGAUUGGGUAUUUUUAAAGGUAUCACCAAUGAAAGGGGUUAUGAGAUUUGGUAAAAAAGGGAAACUAAGCCCACGUUACAUAGGGCCAUAUAAGAUUACCAAGAGGGUCGGACAAGUUGCAUAUGAAUUAGAGCUACCCCAGGAACUUUCAAUGGUUCAUCCAGUGUUUCAUGUGUCAAUGCUUCGAAAAUGCAUAGGUGACCCCUCUCGUAUCACUCCUAUAGAAGAUGUACAGGUCACAGAGGAUCUUACUUAUGAAGAGGUACCGGUUGCUAUUCUAGAUCGCCAAGUUAAAAAGUUAAGGAACAAAGAAAUGGCAUCAGUAAAGGUACUUUGGAGAAAUCAACAAAGGGAAGAGAUUACAUGGGAAGCUGAGGAAGCAAUGAAAUCUAAGUACCCUCAUUUGUUCAAAGAUGAAGAGGAAGUUCAAGAAACGGAGUUAGAACAUUAACAAGUAAGUUUUUGUUUAUAUAUGCAUAGUAUUUAUGUGAUGAUGUGAAUGUUAAUGGUGGACUUGAACUUGUUUCGGCUAAAUAACUACAUUCACAUUCGAGGACGAAUGUCCUUAAGGGGGGAAGGAUGUAACACCCCGUACUUAAUUACGUGCAUUAGUCAUUGUUAUAUGUGUUGGGGUAUAUGUAUUGAUCCUAAGUUAGGUAUAUAUGAGUUUAAGUAUGAGUAUUGAUUAUUUUGAGAUGGUUUCAAGUGUAUAGUUUGAUUAUAGGUGUAUAGGAAUCGACUUUAUUUAUAUCGGAAUUUUCCCGUCGAUGGUUCCAUACGAAGGUUAUUGAAUAAGCUUUCCAACGAUAUAAAGAUUUCCAAAAACGGAUAAGUUUCGGAUAUAAGCGAGCUCGUUCGAAACUUUAAAACGGUGGCCGGGAUGUGAACAGUAAAAUGUGCAGGAAACUACUGAGGCCUGCCAGUUUUUUGGGUCAACUUUGAACGAUCAUAACUCCCUCAAUAUAAUGAACUGGUUGAGCUACCAUAUAUCAAAAGAAAGAUCUUUGAGUCUUCUUUCCAAUGAAAUUGGUUUCAUCCAAAUCCAACAUCUGAGUAAGGAGUUAUACUCGUUUUACUUCAGCCUCUCAAAACAGAUUUUUAGGGUCAACUUCAAACGAUCAUAACUACUUGUACAGGACGAACUGGGUGGAUUAAUUUAUAUUAAAUGAAAGACCUUUGAAUUAUCUUUCUAACGAUACCAAUUUCACCCAAAUCCGAUAUCGGAGCAAAGAGUUAUGGCCGAUUUACUUUAGCCUAUCAAAACAGUCCACCAUGGACAGAUUCGGAUUUACUUAAAUUUUUAAGGGCAAUAUGGUCAUUUUCCAUCACCUCUUGAACGAAAAUUGGUCAUUAUAUACAUAUACUUAGCCUCAUAUCCAUUAUUUAUCAUCCAUUAUUGAAAACUAAGAAACCCUAGCCAAAUUUCAACUCCAAUUAUCUUGUGAUUCAACCGUAGAAAAUCCAAAUUGAUUCCGUAGUUGUGUUCACCGUCUCAAGGGCUUCGAGAAGCACCCCUUAUUUGUGCCAACAGGACUUCGAAAUCAAAAGGGCCAUUUUUUUGGUAAGGAUGUAAAUUAUGUUGGUGUUAUUUAUAUGGAUAUGUAUAUAUAUAUAUGCAUGUGAGCAUAAGAAGUAUGUUAUUUGAUUGUUGUUGAAAGAUGAUUGGAAAUGAUGUUGGAUUAUUCUUGUGCAUGGUUGGAUUAUGUUAAAUUGUGAAGGAAUUUGGGGUGAUGAUGUGGUAUUGAUGAUGUGGUAUUGAAAUGAUGAUUAUAUAUAUAUACACACAUAAACCUAUUGUUCAAGUUGGUUUUUGGAAUGUUUUGCAAAUAUUGGUAGUAUGGAAUUAUGGAAGAGAAUUGUGGUGUUGGGUUGCUAAUACUAGAUGCCAAACAUUUCAUUGUAGAUAAGUGAUUUGUAAAGGCGGGAAGUUGUGUUGAAUUGGUAUCCGAAUCUACAACGAGGUAUGUAAAGCAUACUCUAACAAUGUUCUUUGGCAUGAAAACACCAAUGUUCCAUCAAGUAAGAUUCCGAGGUUGUCCAAAAACAUGUAUUGUUCUACGUUACCAACGAAGUUGUUUCCAUUCUAUAAAGUGUCAAAAUGUUUCAUUGAUAUACCAAAAGGCUCUUAUUUCAUUGUUGUGAUAUUGAUGAUUCUGAAACACAUUGUUGAUGUACCAAUGAGUCUUUAUUACAUCGUUAUUGUAUAGAAGGUCUAUUACUUGGUUCCUAUUGAUGUAUCAUUGUUUCAAAGUAUCAAAAAUGUGGUGGCGACCGAAAUAACAAUCUCAAAGAUUAAUUGAACUAAGUGAUGGAAGUUCUCUCUUAUCGGGUGGUAUCCCAGGGGCAUAAGCCUAGCAUGGGUCGAUCCCUAUUUAUGUGUUUAUGGGUGGUAUCCCAGGGGCAUAAGCCUAGCAUGGGUCGAUCCCAGUUGAUAUGUACUGGAGGCAUCCUAAUGGUCACAGUACAGUACAGUAAUGAUUACAAAGACGAUAAGAACGAAGGUAAAGUGAUUGAAUAAAUACAAUGUACAGGUUGUCACAAGUUCUAGUAAGUGUGGUCCACUCCUAUUACGACUUAUUCACUUGUUUCUGAUUUCUAUUGAGCUCCUAUAUCAUAUGUGAUUAUUUACAGCUUUACAUACUCAGUACAUAUUUCGUACUGACGUCCCUCACGGGGGACCUGCAUUUCAUGCUGCAGGCACAGGUACCUCAGCUCAUACACCGCACAAGUAGGAGCCAGGUCAUACAGCUAUUGUUGGUGAGCUCCAGUUUGCUUCGGAGCUUUCCGAGUCGGUUCCUUAUGUUUUGUUAUUGUACAUGAGUCAUGUGUGGGCGGGGGUUUGUCCCGACCCUAGUUAUGUCAUGUAUAUCCUAGAGGCUUUGUAGACAUAAGGAAGGGUAAAGUCAUGGAAGUUUAUGUAGUGAUGUUAUAUCUGUAUAUGUGGUGGCCCCGACGGCCAAGUAUUAUAUAUAUAUAUAUAUUUGCGCGUGUUGUGCUGAUACAGGUAAUUAGACCUUUCUAUAUGCAACGACGUGCUGUCCAAUUUUUGGUGACAUGUAAGUGAAAGUACAGGUAUUUGAACGGGUUCUCCCGGGCCUUCUCGGCUUCGGGUGCCAGUCCGGCCCGAUGGGACUUUGGGGCGUGACAUUUUAGGUGUUCCUGUACAUCAUCCGACCUUGGAUACAAUAUGACUUAUAGAUAAUCCCUCAAAUUGGUAGUUUUGGGGUAAUCCUGCGCAUAAUCGAUCUUGGAUAUGACGCGGCUUAUAGAGAACCCUUGGAUGUAUCAAUUUGAUAAUCUUGCAUAUUCUCCGGUAAAGAUUUAGUUGCGACUUAUGGAUAACCUUUGAACUAUUGACUUUUGGGCGAUCUUGCACACUAUCCGGUUAGGAUGUUGUUAUGGUUUACGGAUGACCUACAGGAUAUCAACUCAUAGGUUAUCUUGCACACUAUCCUAUUUCAAAUAAUAUAACUUAUAGAUGACCCUCAAAAUUGUUAAUUUCCAGGAAACCUUAUAUAUCAGUCAUCCUUAGAUAAUGACUUAAAGGUGUCCCUUCAAAUCGUGUUCUCCCGAUGCAUUCAGAUGUUGAUUCAUGAAAAGAUGAUGAUAUCCUUGAUACUAGCAUUGUGUCUAGCAUGUCAACAGAUAUAUUGAAUGCUGAUGAUAUCCUCAACACCAGCAUUGUGUCUAGCGUGUCAACAGAUAUUGAAUGAUGAUGAUAUCCUUAAUGCCAGCGUUGUGUCUAGUACGUCAACGGAUAUAUUGAAUAUUGAUGAUAUCCUCGAUGCUAGCAUUGUGUCUAGCGCGUCAAUAGAUAUAUGAAUAGCCUUCUUGGGCGAUGGUAUGAGAUGGCCCUCUCUACAAUGAUGUGCAAUGGCCCUUGCGGCAAUGAUAUGUGAUGGCCUUUGUGGCAAUGAUAUGCAAUAGCCCUUGCGGCAAUGAUAUGCAAUGUCCCUUAUGGCAAUGAUAUGUAAUGGCCCUUGCGGCAAUGAUAUGCAAUGGUCCUUGCGGCAAUGAUAUGCAAUGACCCUUGCGGCAAUGAUAUGCAAUGGUCUUUGCGGCAAUGAUAUGCAAUGGCCCUCUUGGCAAAUUUUAAAAUAAUUUUACCUGACUUUAUUUGUCAGCGUCUUGCUUUCUACAUGUACCUAUACUCAAGGUAGACGAUUAGUAGACACAAAGUCACUUUUGCUAGCAAUUAUUUUUAGGAAAUUUCUAAAUAUAAUAUUUGUAAAGAAGAUUAGACGCCUUUGUUUGUGUUCCAUGAUCUCAAGAAAUGAGGUGGACAAAUCAAAAGGUCCUCAGUAAAUGGGUAUUAAACCCAUUUUUAGGGCUACCCUAAAAUACCAUUCUUGAGCAUUGCUACUCUGGUGUGGCUUCCAAUUAGCUAGUUAGUUUUUGAAAGAGACUCUUAUUUUUGUGUAUUGAUCCCUGCAUCCACAGAAAAAUGAUUAGUUUGAAUGAAAUUACUCCAUGUUGACCUCCUUCGAUCCUUGAUUUGCUCCUCGCCAUCUUUCAGUUGCUUCGUCAUGCUGGAACCUCCACCCCUGACUCUCCGUCCCAAUUAAUGUCUAGGCAAAUACUAAUUAAAAGAUUUAUGAAGAUUUUUGAAGUAGUCGUAAAUUUUAGAAAAUAGUUUCGAAAGCUUCUAUAAAACUUUAGAAAAUCUCUGCCAGUCAUGUCAUGUGCUAGUCCAACGACCAUCUUUCUCUUGAUUCUGACAAUGUCCGACGUUUGAUGGAGGAUUGCUAGGGCGUCAGCAUUGACGAGGCUCUCUACCAGAAGUUUUAUCAAAGACGGAGAUUCAAUCUUCCUAGACUUUAUCACAGGUGGUGAUUCUCCAAUCUCAACUUCGACCUCUAGUGCUGGGGAAUUUGAAAUAUAUUUCAAUAUAUUAGUGAAAAUUUUGAGGACCUCCUCAAAAUUUCUGCCCUAGUUUAAAGUAGUUUGAGAUGAUUUCAUCUCGAGUGGAUCUGAAGUCUUUGUUGGUCUACAUUCUCUUCGUUGAUAUUCUCUUGUGAAUGUUCGAGAUUUCUUCUCAAAAAUUCUACCCCAGUUUCCAUUUCCUGGGGUUAUAUGACCGAGCUGUUUGGGUGCCUACGUAUCCCGUUGAAGCAGGAAUCAGGUCAAACGUAGUUCAGGACUACGCUAGGGAUAUAUAUAGAAAAAUCUAAUGGGUUGAACGAAGCCGACAUAGGCCGCCUACGUAUCCCUUUUGUUGGGAAUUCAGGUCAUUACGUAGUUCAUACAUAAAGAGAAAUGAUAAAUUAUCCUAAGGGGUUGACCAAAGCCUACAUAGGCCGCCUACGUAUCUCUUUCUUAGGAAUUCAGGUCAAAUGUAGUUCGUACAUAAAGAGAAACGAUAAAUUAUCCUAAGGGGUUGACCGAAGCCGAUAUAGGCCGCCUACGUAUUCCUUUCUAGGGAAUUCAGGUCAAACGUAGUUCGUACAUAAAUAGAAAUGAUAAAUUAUCCUAAGGGGUUGACCGAAGCAGACAUAGGCCGCCUAUGUAUCCCUUUCUUGGGAAUUCAGGUCAAACGUAGUUCGUACAUAGAGGGAAAGGAUUCUAGGCAGUUACAUAUUAGAAAACAACAUUACUACGAAUGCGAUUACAAGUAAAUUAACUAAAGAAAUACGAAAACUAGAACGUCCUUCAAAUAUAAUAUCUCUUUACCACAUCAGAAUUAAUUGGUUUGGUCCACUCUAUGCCAUCCAUCUCAAACAAAAUCAGAGCUCCUCCAGAUAGUACCUUGCGAACUAUGUAUGGCCCUUGCCAGUUUGGAGCGAACUUGCCCUUGUACUCCUCUUGGUGUGGGAAUAUUCAAUUGAGAACCAGUUACCCCACUUCAAAUGUUCGAAGUCUCACUUUCUUGUUAAAGGCACGAAUCAUCCUGUGUUGAUACAGCUGACCAUGGCAUACAACGACCAUUCUCUUUUCAUCAAUCAACAUGAGUUGUUCAUAGCGAGCACGAACUCAUUCUUCGUUACUUAGUUUGGCUUCUUGGAUAAUCCUUAGGGAAGGUAUUUUAACUUCAGCAGGUAUCACCGCUUCAUUUCCAUAAACCAAUAGAUAUGGGGUUGCACCGAUGGAGGUUCGAACCGUCGUGCGAUACCCUAGCAAGGUGUAAGGUAACAUCUCAUGCCAUGAUCUAUUAUUUUCGACCAUCUUUCUCAGGAUCUUCUUAAUAUUCUUGUUGGCAGCUUCCACGACUUCAUUUAUUUGAGGACGGUAUGCAGUUGAGUUGCGAUGCAUGAUUUUGAACUGAUCACAAAUUUCAUUCAUCAAGUGACUGUUUAAGUUGGCCUCAUUAUCCUUAAUGAUUGAUUCUGGCACUCUGAAUUGGAAAAUCAGGUUAUUCUUGAUGAAAUCUGCAACCACUUUCUUAGUGACAACUCUGUUGAAGUAGCUUCAACCUAUUUAGUAAAGUAAUCGAUGGCAACCAAAAUAAAUCUAUGCCCACUCGAUGCUGAUGGUUCUAUCGGUCCGAUAACAUCCAUACCCCAAGCUAUGAAAGGCCAAGGGGAACUUAUCGCAUAAAUCUCAUGUGGAGGCAUGCGAAUCAGAUCUCCAUGUAUCUGACAUUUUGGACAUUUCUGUACAAACUUACUACAAUCGUUUUCCAUAGUCAUCCAGAAGUAACCGGUUCUCAGGAUCUUUCUGGCAAGGGCAAACCCAUUCAUAUGGGGCCCACAAACUCCAGCGUGUACCUCUUUUAUCAAUUUAUUGGCUUCCGCAGCAUCGAGCAUCUUACGAAUCCCAAAUUAGGAGUCCUCCUAAAAGAAAUUCCCCACUUGGACAGUAGUUCUUUGCUAAACGCCGGAUUGUCUUCUUUUGGUUGUUAUUGGCCUCUUCAGGAUAUACUCCAGAUUCCAAAUACCUCUUAAUGUCAUAGUUCCAAGGCUUUCCAUCAGGCUCCUCUUCCAUGUGCGCACAAUGCGCAGGUUGCUCCUUCAAGCUUAUUUCCAAAGGAUCAAUGUAACUCUGAUCUGGGUGCUGAAUCAUGGAAGAUAUGGUGGCCAAAGUGCCAACAAACUCAUUUUGUAUCCGUGGGAUAUGUCUGAAAUCAACUUCUUUGAAUCUUUCGCAUAAUUCUUGCACUAGCUCCACAUAAGGAGUAAUCUUAAGUUUUUUUACUGCCCAUUCUCUCCGUACCUGAUGAAUCAGCAAAUCUGAAUCUCCGAUGACUAACAAUUCAUGAACACCCAUAUCAAGUGCCAAUUUGAGACCCAGGAUGCAAGCCUUAUAUUCAGCCAUGUUAUUGGUGCAUGGGAAACGCAACUUAGCAGUUACCGGAUAAUGUUGGGCCGUCUUUGACACCAAAACUGCUCCAAUUCCUGAACCUUUAAAGUUGACCGCCCCAUCAAAGAAUAGCCUCCAUCCGGGGUAAAUCUCUGUAAUAUCUUUCUUUCCCUAUGAAUAAAAUUUCCUCAUCUGGGAAGUAAGUUUGAAGUGGCUCGUAUUUCUCAUCAACCGAAUUUUCUACCAAAUAAUCCGUUAAGGCUUGCCCCUUGAUUGCCUUUUGGGUUACGUACACAAUGUCAAACUCACUCAGUAAUAUUUGCCACUUGGCUAGCUUUCCUGUAGGCAUGGUCUUCUGAAAUAUAUACUUCAACGGAUCCAUUCUUGAGAUGAGGUAUGUUGUGUAGGACGAUAGAUAAUGUCUCAAAUUUUAUGCUGCCCAAGUCAAAGCACAACAUGUCUUUUCUACAAGAGUGUAAUGGGCUUCAUAUGGUGUGAAUUUUUUACUCAAGUAGUAAAUGGAUUUUUCUUUCCUACCGGUCUCAUCAUGUUGUCCGAGGACACAUCUGAAAGCAUUUUAUGAGACUGACAGAUAAAGAAACAAUGGUAUUCCUUCUCUUGGAGGCACUAAAACCGGUGGUGCAGAUAGGUAUUCCUUGAUGUGGUUAAAAUUUCUCUGGCAUUCUUCUGUCCACUCAUUAAAUGCAUUUUUCUUCAACAUCUUGAGAAUUGGCUCGCAUAUGACUGUCGAUUGAGCGAUGAAUCUGCUAAUGUAAUUCAAAUGACCCAUGAAACUCGUGACUUCCUUCUUGGUCCUCGGCGGUGGCAAGUCCUGAAUUGUCUUGAUUUUGGAUGGGUCUAGCUCGAUGCCUCUUCUGCUGACUAUGAACCCCAGCAACUUCCCUGAUGACACACCAAAAGCACACUUAGCAGGAUUUAACUUCAAACUAUACUUUCUUAAUCUAUUGAAGAAUUUCUCCAGAUGAGUCAGAUGAUCUGAACUCUCGUGGGAUUUGAUAAUUACAUCAUCCACGUACACCUCAAUCUCUUUAUGAAUCAUAUCAUGGAAAAUAAUCGUCAUAGCCCUCAUAUAUGUUGCGCCCGCAUUCUUGAGACCAAACGGCAUUACCCUGUAAUGAUAAACACCCCAGGGCGUAAUAAAUGCCAUUUUUCCUACAUCUUCCUCAUCCAUCAAUAUUUGAUGAUACCCGAUGAAACAAUCAACGAAUGACUGCAUUUCAUGCUUCAGACAGUUAUCGAUGAGGAUGUGGAUAUUGGGUAAUGGAAAAUUAUCUUUAGGAAUGGCUCUGUUUAAGUCUCUAUAGUCAACACAAAUUCAAAUCUUGCCGUCCUUCUUCGGCACAGGGACGAUGUUGGCCAACCACGUCGGAUAUUUUGUGACCUCCACAACCUUAGACUGGAUUUAUUGUCACUUCUUCCUUGAUAUUUAGACUUAAAUCUGGCUUGAAUUUCUGCAUUUUUUGCUUGAUUGGAUCAAACUCCGAAUUUAUCGACAACUUAUGCGACACAAUACUAGUGCUCAAUCCCGGCAUGUCAUCAUAGGACCAAUCAAACACGACAAUAUAUUCCCGCAAAAGGUGAAUGAGCUCUCUCUUUUGUGCUUACGCUAGGUGGAAACUAACGCUUGUUUCUUUGAUUUCAUCAUGAUCUCUGAGGUUGACUGUUUCAGUUUCCUCCAGGUUGGGUUUUUCCCGAUUCUCGAACUCCUCCAUAUCUUCAACUAAUUGUUUCUCAUCAUCGUCCUUCCAAUCAUCAUCGUUCCCUUUAUUUUGUUUGUUUAAACUUUGACAUGACAUGACAUUGGCAAAUUUUAAGUUGCUGUUAGAUAACAAGAUAAUAAAAAAAUAUAUGACUAGGAGUGUUUUUAGAAAUAAUAGAAUUUUCUAAAUAAAUGAAGGUCUUUUCAUUGAAAUUUGAGAGAUAAUUACUAAACCAUGGCUCAUGACUUGUACAAAUACAAGUCCAUGCCUUUUUGAAACCAGUAAAAUACAAAAAGAAAGUUUUGAGAUAUAAAAGGUGGAUCACGGGGCCUCCUCCAGAUCAUCACCAAUUUUAAAAAUGAUUAGUAAUUUCCCUUUCAUCUACCACGACGGGCGACGGGUUAUGAGUGGAGUGGAGGUCCAGUUUUGUAAGGCCUCCCCUGGCGCAAUCUGCUUCACCCCGCUGGACUUUGGGAGAUCUUCUGGUACAGCAUUGCAUGCCUCGAACAAAUCUUCUAUCCCAUCCCUAAGACCAUCACAUCUGACACCUCUCGUACAGGAAAUGACUGGAACAGAAGUGGCAAGGGCCUAAACAGACUCUUCUCUGACUCAUCCUCAACCUUAUCCUUCUUGGUAGGCUGAUAUCCAAACCCAUACUUAGAGCCAUUCUCUGGGAUCGAAAUAGGCUUGAUAAUUCCUUGUAGAUCCUUACCUAAACCUCGACCAGGUUCGAACCUAUUUCUUAACAUCACCGUCGCAAUCAUUUUGGUAGACAGAAAGCAUUGGCACUUUGGAUGUUGAAUCCCUGUCCACACAUUUACAAUUUCCACUGUAUAGAAACUGCUACAUUUUGAAACAUCUUUAAUCACCGGCACAUAACCAUUGAGAUGAUCCACUCGACUUCCUUCUCCUUGGAUGACUACUUCAUGAUCCUCCCAAAUGAACUUCAAUAAUUGAUGAAGGGGUGACGAAACUGCCUUUGCACCAUGUAUCCAUGGUCUUCCCAAGAGCAAGUUAUAGCUAGGAUGGAUAUCCAUAACAUGAAACUUAGUUUUGAACUCAGCAGGGCCCAUUUGGAUGUACAAAUCAAUUUCUCUUAUGGCAUCUCUCUGCCCUCCAUCGAAUGCUCUCGCAUUUACGUGGCUUUGACGAAUUUUCCCCAGAUCAUAGCCCAUUUGAACCAACAUAGAGAGGGGGCAAAUAUUCACACCAGAUCCGUCGUCUAUUAAUACCUGAUUAAUUGCAUAAUCUCGGUAAAUGACAGUGAUUACAGGACUUUGUUGUUCAUCACUCCUUCAAACGACAACUCUUUAUCACUGAAUGAUAUGCAAUGAUUCCCCAUAAUGUUUCCUAUCAUCGCAGCCAGGUUCUCAACACUAAUUCCUGUGGGAACAUUUGUUUCAUCCAAAACCUUUGAUAAAGCUUGUCGGUGGUAUUGCAAACUCAUUAAUAGUGCCAAAAUAGAGAUUUGGGCUGGUAUCUUCUCUAAAUGUUUCAUAAUUGAGUAAUCUUUUGGUUUCAUAUGCCUCCAAAAUUCCUCAACCUCUCAUUCAGUGAUUGGUCUUUUCUAUGAAUCCUUUUUGUUCUUCAAUUCCUCAGGAAUAUAACAUCGUCCCAACCGCGUCAUCCGUUGGGCAGCAGCGGUCUGUACAAUGAAUUUCUUCUUUGAUGGGGGGAGAGGGGUGCACCUGACUUAGAGCCAUCAUCACUAUAAACGGGGCUUUCUCGUUGACACUUAAGGUAGCCACAACCCUCUUUAUCUUUCCUACCUCUUCUGCCCUUUUGGGUUUUUAAAGUUCACCUUAGUAAUGAUCUUGCCAGAUGCCCAUUCACCCUCGAUUUCAAUCAUAUUAACUGUAAGUCCCCUAUGAUUGGGCAAUGGAUUAUUGUUAACAUUUGGUGUAGGUGCCUGAAAAGUGAUGACCUUUUGAUUGAUUAAAUCCUGGAUCCUAUAUUUCAGGUAGAUACAAUCCUCAGUACUGUGCCCCACUGCUCCUGAAUGAUAGACACAAUGUUGACUUGCAUUAAAAAAUUGAGAGUUGGGAUUGAUAGGCCUUGGCUGUAUUGGUUGCAAAUGACCAGCAUUCUUCAAUCUUUCAAACAAUUGGGUACGACUUUCAGCUAAUGGGGUAAAUUUUUGGGGAGGUUUCUUUUCAUGGUUUGGACGUGGGGGGUUAUAAUGGCUUUGAUUUGUAGGAGGAGGUACUUGGUGAUAAUUUAGAGGCGCUUGGGAAUUUAUUCGGUUAUUUGGAGGAGUGGAUUGGAAAUGAGACUGAUAAUUUGGAUGUGGAACUGGGUAUUGGGGAAAGAUAUUUGGCUGUGGAGCUUGGUAUAAGGAUUGGAGGUUUGGGAGUGGAGCUUGGUAUUAGGGGGAGAUAUUUGGCUGUGGAGCUUGGUAUUAGGGGUGGGCAUAGAAUACAUGUUAAAGGCUUGGUGAUAGUGGAGAAGAGAAAACAUUCCUAGAGUUGAACCUUUUUUUCAUUUUCACAACAGAAUUAGCAGAAAUUGUACCUACAUCUUCUUUUUUCUUCUUUGCGAACAUGACAGUCCCAGACGACGUUGGGUUUUUGGUAAUUUUCCCUGUCUGAAUGCCUUCUUCCAAUGAUUCUCCUAUUUUUACCAAGUCCGCAAAAGUUGCCCUGACAGCGGACACCAUCUUGGUAUAAUAUUAUCCUUCUUGAGCGCGAGAGAACACAGAUACCAUUUCUUCCUCAGACAUGGGGGGUUGCACUUUGGCAGCUUCUUUCCUCCAACAAAAACAGUCUCGAAAAAUCUUGUCAUUUCGCUGUUUGAUCCGAUCUAGUGAAUAUCGAUCAGGGACUAUUUCAAUGUUGAAUGCGAACCUGUCAAGGAAACCCUUGGCUAAUGCUUUCCAACCAGUCCAUCUUUUCGGCUCCUGAGACAUGAACCAUUCUAAUACUUCGCCGCUUAAACUUCGACUGAAUAGGCGCAUCAACAAUGCCUCAUUUUUUCCUAUCCAUACCAGUUACUCACAAUACCUUCUCAGAUGGGCCAUUGGGUUUCCGAUACGGUCAAACAUUUCAAACUUAGGGACUUUGUACCCAUCUGGUAGGUCUACUCCCGGGUGAAAACAUAAGUCGUCAUACCCCAAACCGUCGUGGUCCCUGGCUCUAUGAGACUCUUUGAUCUUCAUAAUCUCUUCCUUCACAGCUAGAAAAUUUCUUUCAUGAUCGGUCCUCCACUCUCUCUCCUUCUUCUCAUAAUGGUCUAUCUCGAGAUUAGGAAUGGGUUCCUAGAUAUCAGAGGAUAUGAUGGCCUAAGGGGGAUUUGAAAUGGGGGCUUGAUUUUGCGUAUGAAACGAAUUUGGUUGGUAAAUGAGGAGGACGUUUUGUAAAUGGGAAAGAUUCUGUGGACUUUGCAAGUAGUUUGGCAGAAUUUGAGAGGGGUUUUGCGGAUUUAGAAAUGAAUUUGGGGGAUUCAAAGGUAGGUUUAACGUAUUUUGUAGGUUUGAGAGUGAAUCUUGCAGAUUUGGGAAUGCAUUUUGUUGAUUUGAAAACGUGUUUUGAGGAUUUGGGAAUGGAUCCGGAGACGGGUUCUAUGGGGCUAGAGAUGGAUUUUGCGGAUGGUAGGCGUCUGGGUUAUUUUCACGAUUGGUAGUUUGGACAAAUGGGGGAGCGAAGAUGGAUGAUACGUUAUUUGGCUGAUCCCCAAGAGUAGGGGUGCUGAGGGGAGAAAUUUGGAGUGGAGUCCCGUGUUCUCCUGGAGCGGGGGCAUUGACGGUGAUGGCCAAGUUAGCCAAAUCCCAAGUGUAAUUUAUUUCUUCCUGAAGUAUUUCUAACUUUCUCGCAAGUUCCGCAAUCAUCUCAUUUUGUUCCGCUAUCACAUUGUCCCGGAUAGUCAGUGCGCUUUCUUCAUCAUUUUCUGUCAUUUUUGAAUGAUGGUCAGAGGAUGGAAUUUUGUGCGCUUUCGAUCGGGUGAAGUAGGGAUGUUCUGCCAGCUUAUAUCAAUAUGGAGUAAUUUCUAUUAUCUGUAAAGUAAAACAACUCAAAGGCAGAUGUGUUAGUUUUCGUAUGUGAUAAGUAAUGCAAAAUAUUUAACAGAAAAUAGCCACAUAGAGUUGUUUGAGUCAUAGCCAAAUUCAUCCAUAGGACAUAGUGGAUAAACUUGCCUUUGAUCCAAACAAAUGCACAUAAGCACAUAAGACAGUUAUAUCACACAAAAAUAUUAUAAUAACGCGUAUCCUAGCUGGGGUGACCCUUUUUAAGCCAAGGGUUCAGGCCUAACGAUUUUGAAGAAAAUAUGUGCUUCCUCGAAGUCAAUCCAUUAACCCCCAACUUAUAUAGACACAAAAAAGGGCAUAAAUGCCUACAAAAGAAAACGAAAAAGGGAUACAAUCUUUAGGGAAAAAGGGAAAUAACAUGAAAGAAGAUAAGUUCCCGCGCAGAGAAAAUAGAAAAACUAGCUACUGGAGGCUCCUUCGUCUGCAUUUUCUUUCUUUGCCUUGUUUACCUCAUGUGCUAUUUGAUACCUAUUGAUGAUAAGAUAACUCCCGCAUAAUUUUGCCUUGCUGUCGUAAGUCAUUUUCCCUAUACUAUCGAGUUGAGAGGCCAUGCUAUCAUCCAAAUUGAUUAAACACUGCCUAGCAUCAUCAGCCUCUUGCCUAGCUCUUUUCAGCUCUUCCCUCAACAUACAUAUUAUUAAAGCAUCCUCCAUGUGUACCUGCCGGUGCACGAUUUCACUUUUUUGGAACUCAUCUUGUAGCCUAUAGAGCCAAACUUGAUGCUCGGGUUCUACAUCCACAACCCGAGUGGGCACAUUUGGUUCCAGAAUCAAUGCUCCGGCGAGGCUCUUUUUCAACCAUUCCUUGUAAGUGUCGUUGACUUCAGGGUCAUGCUCUAUAAGAAAAGUCACUCCCGUCCACCUUCUUCUUCUCCAUCCAUUUAUCAUGCCAUUUUUUAGCGGAGACACACUUUCGUCGUAUUCGGUGAAAAACUUAAGCAUGGAAUCUAUUUGUGGUGCCUCCUGCUUGAUCUCAAAUUGCCUAAAAACUCUGCCAGGAUUGUAGGGACGGGUCCUUCUGAGACUCGAAAGCACUAGGAAAGGCCACUUUCCCCCUCGAAUGGUGUAUUUCCCUGAACGAAGAGAGUUAAUGGACUAUUGCACAUCGUCAUCUCUUAAUUCCCCGAAAGUCUUAAACCAAAAUUCGUGAGAUGCUUCCUUUUUGAACUUGUGUAGAAACUACCACAUGUCGUGCGAAACCAGUAGAUCCACCCUUGUUUUAUGAUCAGGUUGUACCGUUCUCGAAUCAUUUACCAAAUGUUUUAUCAUUCACCAUUGUAAUAUCAGGUUGCAACCUUAAAAGAAAUGAUUUUCGACUUGACACCUUCCCAAGGCUCGAUAUAUGUCGGCGACAAUCAUGGGAGCUAAAUUGUGGAAUACCUUGUUAGAAUUGUAAUCUACUCCAAAGAAAAGUUCAUGAGCCACCGUAACAACCCUUGGAUGAAUUGUGUCAUUUUCCCCCUGUGGGAACACCAUGGUUCCGAGUAGACCUACCGUAAACACAAAGGCUCUCAUCUCUUUCCAUUUUGCUUCGAACUCAAAUUUAUGUCCAAAUUUGUGGAAGCCAAUGAAUCUUCCAAACCGACGAUACAACUCCCGAAAAGUGAUAUUUGCUCCAUCACGUUCCCCUAGCCAGGUGUCGUCGUUAGUUAAAAAAGCCUAUUUGAUUGUUUGACGGUCCCACACAGCAGGAACUAAAAUGUUCUUAUCAGAUUUUUCCUUUCUCUUGAAACACAUUUCAAUACUCUCAUAGCAAAUUAACACUUCUUCGAUGGUAGGAGUCAAUUCCACAUCCCCGAAGUGAAAUACCAUAUUCUGAUCAUCCCAAAAAGUCGUAAGCACGUGGAUCAUUUCGGUCCAAGCAUCCAUUUCAAUCAAUAAAGGCAGGUAUCCGAUGUGUGUUCUAACAAUUUUUCUCUCUUCUGCGCUCAUAUAGUCCCACCAUAGUUUCAGGUAAUCGUCAGGUUUAGUAACCAUCUUGAACUUCUCGUGGGAAUGCAAUUGAGCCAUACCUACAUGAAAGCAAACAAAGAUAAGCCUUCCCCCGUCCCCUAAAGGGUAAUGGAUUGAAUUAAACAAGCAUAUACUUCUUCAACACAUAAAUAUGAUUCGUCUGUAAUUAACUCGGGGUCAAUAGAAAUAGGGUAGGUUUUCUAAUGGGCUGAAUACCCGCUCGGGUAUUGGGUCGUCCUAGGCUCAUGCCUGAAAUAGGGUUUUGGUUUCGUUCUAUCCUAGGUAUCUAGAGUGGGUUUAAACACUGGUUCUCAAGCGAACAACUUGAGCUUGAAAAUACAAACAACCAUCAGACGAUUCACGUGCUAAUAAACUGUUUGUAUUUCCAACACAUUUUUAGAAUUGAUCAAUAGGGGCUAGGAUACUCACGAAACCCCAAAAUAGUUUAAAUGAUGUAGGAAUAUGCCAUGAGAUGCGAUAAUUAAACUCUACAGAAUCGAAACACAUAAACACAUAAACAGUUAAUCAAAAGAUGAAAUCAAACAUCUGGUUAGAACCUAGUUAGAGAUCCCCAGCAGAGUCGUCAUUUCUGUUUUGCGGAAAUUUUGACUUUUAAAGAGUCGCCACUUAAUUUUGAAAAGGAAUUAAGAAACCUUUAGAGAGUUACUUCAAACGAUUCAACAAAGGAAAAUCGUUAAAGUUUAGAGAAUUCUGGGUAAGUGGUUCUUAUUAAUGUUUUAGGAAGGUGUUAGGCACCUAAAACAUCUGCUAACUUGCGGUUAUCCAGACUGUUUGAAAAUCGUCUUUAAUUAACUUCUAAAAGUGAUUGAUUUUUGGAAAGAAAGCUAUUUUGAAAAUAUUUUGGUGUUUAUACAAAACUAGUUUUUUAGCGACUUAACUAAGGAUUUAACUAGGUUCGCAAGAAGCACGUAAAACAAGUAAGCGAAAAGGAAAAGGGAAAAGGGAGAAAUAGUGACUUAGGCUCUUUAAGCCCAAAC